GACGAACGCUGGCGGCGUGCCUAAUACAUGCAAGUCGAACGAGAGCGACCGGUGCUUGCACUGGUCAAUCUAGUGGCGAACGGGUGAGUAACACGUGGGUAACCUGCCCAUCAGAGGGGGAUAACAUCCGGAAACGGAUGCUAAAACCGCAUAGGUCUUCGAGCCGCAUGGCUUGAAGAGGAAAAGAGGCGCAAGCUUCUGCUGAUGGAUGGACCCGCGGUGCAUUAGCUAGUUGGUGAGGUAACGGCUCACCAAGGCCGUGAUGCAUAGCCGACCUGAGAGGGUGGUCGGCCACAUUGGGACUGAGACACGGCCCCAACUCCUACGGGAGGCAGCAGUAGGGAAUCUUCCGCAACGGACGCAAGUCUGACGGAGCAACGCCGCGUGAGUGAAGAAGGUUUUCGGAUCGUAAAACUCUGUUGUUAGAGAAGAGCAAGUGCUAGAGUAACUGUUAGCGCCUUGACGGUAUCUAACCAGAAAGCCACGGCUAACUACGUG
RNAcentral lists this ribosomal RNA (498 nucleotides) under uncultured bacterium. Its description in RNAcentral is "partial 16S ribosomal RNA". It matches the Rfam family "Bacterial small subunit ribosomal RNA", at positions 28 to 507 of the family's 1533-position model. The record is from RNAcentral.